RNAcentral lists this ribosomal RNA (253 nucleotides) under uncultured bacterium. Its description in RNAcentral is "partial 16S ribosomal RNA". It matches the Rfam family "Bacterial small subunit ribosomal RNA", at positions 524 to 776 of the family's 1533-position model. The record is from RNAcentral.
UACGGGGGGGGCAAGCGUUGUUCGGAAUUACUGGGCGUAAAGGGCUCGUAGGCGGCCAACUAAGUCAGACGUGAAAUCCCUCGGCUUAACCGGGGAACUGCGUCUGAUACUGGAUGGCUUGAGUUUGGGAGAGGGAUGCGGAAUUCCAGGUGUAGCGGUGAAAUGCGUAGAUAUCUGUAGGAACACCGGUGGCGAAGGCGGCAUCCUGGACCAACACUGACGCUGAGGAGCGAAAGCCAGGGGAGCAAACGGG